RNAcentral lists this long non-coding RNA (1371 nucleotides) under Numida meleagris (helmeted guineafowl). Its description in RNAcentral is "lncRNA (ENSNMEG00000023131.1)". The record is from RNAcentral. Lineage: Eukaryota; Metazoa; Chordata; Aves; Galliformes; Numididae.
GGGCGGGCGGGGGCCGUGCAGCCGCAGCUCGGCCGUUAACCGCUUCGGCGCGGCCCUUCGCCCCGCCCUUGAGGCGCUGCCUGAGGGGCGGCCACGCGUGGCGGUGCUCGCCGUGACGCGAUGCGAAAAGGGCUCUAACUCCGCGUUCUGCCCCGUCUGGGCGGUUCUGGCUCCUGGCGGGGAGCGUUUCCCCGAGAUGGGAAAGUGUGAGAAACGGAGGCAGCACGGCUGGGCGCGACGCUGAGAGGCAGAGGAAGGUAAAGCCUGAAGAACCCGUCCCAGCCUCCGAAGGCUGUGACCACGUCGAUAAAGCAGCACUUGGAGGGAGGUGCAGUAGACAAACAUCAGCAUUCUUCAUUUGCAUUACUUAGACACAAUGGGAAUAACAUCUCCAUAGUGGCCUGAGAACACACGUCAGUCACAUAUUUCAAUCUCCACGGCCUUCAUGAUUCACGCAAGUAUUAAAACCAAAAUUCUGAAAUAUCUAUGCUCCCUAAAUUAGCCAAGCCAUUAUAAGACAUGUUCUUGGGCCUCUCACCGACUGUCUUUGCGCAGUCCGAAAUAGCGUUCUGAAACCUAGAGCUAAGGAGAGAACCCAACCCAGAGACAUGAAAUACUGAAAUUGAACAAGCUCCCAUUACAUAGUUUCUGCUUUCCCUCUCCACCCCAUAAUCUGAUGAUUCACAAGGAAUAGAGCCAAAAGUGAGCAGAAAAUUAUGAAAAUAUAAAAACACAGCCAUUAAAAAAAAUUAAAAAACAAGACCAAAACAGCCUGAUUCACCACUGACUCAGGUUUUCUAGGGUCACACAAAAGCCUGCCAGGUCAAGGCGCUUACUGAAUAGGAUUUAUCAGCUUUUUCUUUAGUAGCAUCCACAGCAUUUAACACCAAAUGCAGAACUAAAAAUAUUUGCAUUUCUAUGCUGUUUAGGCCAAGCUGGAUCUGGGAUACACAUACACAAGACAGGAUCAUGAAAUUCACCUCCAUACACAGAAUUCAUGCGAUUAUUCGCAGGGAUUUUACAUAAGCCCAACAUGAAGGAAAAAGUAGUUGAGGAUUCCAGCUCUUCACAAAGAUUGUGAGAACAAUUAUUAAAUAUAGCCUUGCUUUAGUCUUGCAAGCUCCCCUACAGAUAACAUCAAAACGUUAGUAUGACUGAAACAAUUGUCCUGCCUGCUGCCUGUAUGCAGCUCAGAGUUCAACAGUUAGAUUUUUGGCACCAGCUGUACCAUUUUUGGCUGAUUUAUCAAGUACCUUUGCACAGGCUAUAGUGACACCUGGUAUUAAGUUUCACUUAUAAACCUUAUCUGCAGCACAAACACAAACGGAACACCAAUAUUCAAGGUCACCCAUACUUAAAACGGCAGUGAGA